CUUAUGUUUGGUAUGAGGGAAAGUGUUACUCGUGCAAUACUACAGUGCAGAUGGUGAUGUAUACUGACUUUAGAGUGCACUUUAUUUGUGAUAUGAUCUCAUUAUCAUGCUAUAGUCGGAGCUUUAUUAGGUACAGACAAAGUUGAAGAGGAAUCAAUUGACUCAAAGAGUAAGCUUUUUAAACUUACUCUACAUCUUAGCCAUUAAUUCUAGGGAAAUCUAAUGGUUUGGAUUAGUAGGUAGAUCUAAACCAUUGAAUUUCCCUAUAAUUGAUGGCUAAGAUGUGGAAUAAGUUUAAAAAAACUUACUCUUGGACUAAGUGGAUCCCCACCCGACGAAGUUAGCACUAACUUAAUAGAGUACUGCAAUGCAAAUGUUGAUAUACAUUGGCUUUGAAGUAUGCUUUAUUUAUGACAUGAUCUCAUUAUCAUAUGCAAUUGGAAGGUGAUCAGUGUUAUGUAUGUACAAAAAUCAGGAGUUUUUUGUAGGGUUAAAAAAUGGAGAGGUGAUCUGUGUAAUUUCACUAAAACUCAGAGGGUGUCAGUGUAAUUCACUCUAAUUGUUAUUGGAAAGAAUCAAUUACUUUUCUCUUCAUUAAUGGAAAGAAUAUUUGUUCACGGAGC
Non-coding RNA from Lupinus albus (white lupine), 623 nucleotides. The record is from the annotation of a GenBank genome assembly. Lineage: Eukaryota; Viridiplantae; Streptophyta; Magnoliopsida; Fabales; Fabaceae.